AAUGUAAGCCAGCAACCAGGAACCAACAGGAGAAACCAGGAGGCAAGGUCAGAAAUUAGGUCAGAACCAGAGAACAAGCCAGGGUUGAAGACCAGGAGUACGCUAGAGUUCAAGAAGCCCUUGUUGCUCAAGCAAAUUCAGCUGGCACAGGGCUCGUGGACAUACAAUGAAGCUGAACGCUAGGAGAUUCAGGAGAACAGAUUUAAAAAAGUACAAGCAGUGAACAUUUUGCACGUGUUCGAUUGGAAGGGUGGCAAACUGAACGAAGCCAACGAGAGACAUCUGUCAGGAGCUGGAGUCAGGCGUAAGUAGCAAUAAAACACUCAGAGUCAGUUAACUAUUCAAAGAAACCAAAACAGCACAGGCCGAGUGAUCCCAGCAACUCUUCCCAGCAGGUCUUGCCCCAAUGAGGCAGCUGAAUGAGGCACUGAAGGUCCCUGCCUUCCCACGUCUGCCUGUCCCCUCCUCUCCAGGGUCUCCCCCAAGCAUCCACAAACUGUGCCUGCCCUGCGCACAAUUAAUCUCUGCUCUGCUCUGCUCUGCUCUGUGUGUUCUAGGAGACCGGGGAGAGGGGAGCUGGUCCCAGCAGGAGUGGGAGACUUCUUCAGCAGCCUGCCUGGUCUCUGCCUGUUGUCCCUCCUCCUCUCCAGUCUCUGCUUCUGCCUCCGAUUUUAGACUGCUCUCUGCUCCAGAGUCUUCCCACUCACUAAACCCUGUUGCCUCUUCUGCUUCUGACACCUCCUCCCCCCAGUCUGCUCCCUCUUCUCCCUCGGACCACUCAUUGUCACCCCACCACCGCUCCCUGAUCUCUGAGCCUUCUUCUCUUGGGGGGUUCCCCAACUGCUGCCUCCCACUGGCAGUGGGUGCGGAUCCCGCUGCUCGCUGGCAAGAAUCAGCCUUUGGAAGAGAGGCUGCUCAUGCUGUUUCCUCCAUGGAGAACUGACGCUGUUUGAGAGACUAGCAUUGUCUGCCAGGGUGACUCCCUGCAGCUGAGCUUGCAAGCUUGUAAAUGAACAGAUCGC
Non-coding RNA from Podarcis lilfordi (Lilford's wall lizard), 1022 nucleotides. The record is from the annotation of a GenBank genome assembly. Lineage: Eukaryota; Metazoa; Chordata; Lepidosauria; Squamata; Lacertidae.